This 253-nucleotide ribosomal RNA is filed under the name uncultured bacterium. Its description in RNAcentral is "partial 16S ribosomal RNA". It matches the Rfam family "Bacterial small subunit ribosomal RNA", at positions 524 to 776 of the family's 1533-position model. The record is from RNAcentral.
UACGGGGGGUCCAAGCGUUGUUCGGAAUCACUGGGCGUAAAGCGCAGGUAGGUGGCUUUUCAAGUCUGUUGUGAAAGCCCAGGGCCUAACCCUGGAAGUGCAGCAGAUACUGUUAAGCUUGAGUAUGGGAGAGGAUAGUGGAAUUCCUGGUGUAGUGGUGAAAUACGUAGAUAUCAGGAGGAACACCGGUGGCGAAGGCGGCUAUCUGGCCCAAUACUGACACUGAGCUGCGAAAGCGUGGGGAUCAAACAGG